Molecule: ribosomal RNA, 433 nt
Filed under: uncultured bacterium
Lineage: Bacteria
Description: partial 16S ribosomal RNA
Rfam family: Bacterial small subunit ribosomal RNA
Source: RNAcentral
AACGAACGCUGGCGGCAUGCCUAACACAUGCAAGUCGAACGAGACCUUCGGGUCUAGUGGCGCACGGGUGCGUAACGCGUGGGAACCUGCCCUUAGGUUCGGAAUAACUCCCCGAAAGGGGUGCUAAUACCGGAUAAUGUCUUCGGACCAAAGAUUUAUCGCCUUUGGAUGGGCCCGCGUUGGAUUAGCUAGUUGGUAGGGUAAAAGCCUACCAAGGCGACGAUCCAUAGCUGGUCUGAGAGGAUGAUCAGCCACACUGGGACUGAGACACGGCCCAGACUCCUACGGGAGGGAGCAGUGGGGAAUAUUGGACAAUGGGCGAAAGCCUGAUCCAGCAAUGCCGCGUGAGUGAUGAAGGCCUUAGGGUUGUAAAGCUCUUUUACACGGGAUGAUAAUGACAGUACCGGGAGAAUAAGCUCCGGCUAACUCCGUG